Schizosaccharomyces pombe (fission yeast) is the source of this 464-nucleotide non-coding RNA. The record is from the annotation of a GenBank genome assembly. Lineage: Eukaryota; Fungi; Ascomycota; Schizosaccharomycetes; Schizosaccharomycetales; Schizosaccharomycetaceae.
CACAAAUUAUCUUUAUCUGCAUGUUUCAACUAUCUUAGCUACAUUAUCUCAUGCAUAGAACUUUUUUGAAAUUUAUCAAUAUGGCUUUACUAUCAGAAAUUCUUCAAUAACAAUCUUCAUUCUUAACUUACGUAUAUCGUAACAAGCUUGUAAGCAUAAUAUGUUCAGAACUCUGUCCUUUCUAAUGGAAAAUAAUACUUAUUUAAGCAAUUUUAUCAGCUACGAACGACCACUACUACGAUGUAUGCAUGUGAAUAAUAUUUACAUUUUUUAUUCCUAUGUCUACUGUUUAAACUAAGUAUUGUAAAUACUUAUAAAAUUUUAUUAUGAUAUAAUGAGCUUGUUCUUUAUUUUGCAAAGCAAUAUGGCUUGCAUAUAAUACAUAGGCUACAAUUCAAUGUACAUUCAAGUAUUGAAAAGCUUUUCCUGUCUUUCCAAUUUAAAAACACUCAACUUCGGCGACG